GAUGAACGCUAGCGGCAGGCCUAACACAUGCAAGUCGAGGGGUAGAAGGAGCUUGCUCCUUUGAGACCGGCGCACGGGUGCGUAACGCGUAUGCAAUCUACCUUGUACAGGGGAAUAGCCCAGAGAAAUUUGGAUUAAUGCCCCAUAGUAUAUAACCUUCGCAUGUUGGUUAUAUUAAAGUUCCAACGGUACAAGAUGAGCAUGCGUCCCAUUAGUUAGUUGGUAAGGUAACGGCUUACCAAGACGAUGAUGGGUAGGGGUCCUGAGAGGGAGAUCCCCCACACUGGUACUGAGACACGGACCAGACUCCUACGGGAGGCAGCAGUGAGGAAUAUUGGUCAAUGGUCGCAAGACUGAACCAGCCAUGCCGAGUGCAGGAAGACGGUCCUAUGGAUGGUAAACUGCUUUUAUACAGGAAGAAACCCUCCCACGUGUGGGAGCUUGACGGUACUGGAGGAAUAAGGAUCGGCUAACUCCGUG
This 480-nucleotide ribosomal RNA is filed under the name uncultured bacterium. RNAcentral describes it as "partial 16S ribosomal RNA". It matches the Rfam family "Bacterial small subunit ribosomal RNA", at positions 28 to 507 of the family's 1533-position model. The record is from RNAcentral.